Thunnus maccoyii (southern bluefin tuna) is the source of this 3482-nucleotide long non-coding RNA. RefSeq lists it as uncharacterized. Lineage: Eukaryota; Metazoa; Chordata; Actinopteri; Scombriformes; Scombridae. The transcript is spliced from 4 exons. The record is from RefSeq and is a predicted model, not a curated record.
CUCUCCUUGACUUUAAUUUUAUCUAUAAUAGUUAAUGGGGGAAAUAACAGAUCAUUCGACUAAACUUUUGAACCAGAUGCUGGAGCAACCUCCUCUACUGCCGUCCAGUGUGACUGACUCUUCAGCUGACAUUAAUAAUAUUAUAAUAAAAUAUGAUAAGAACAUAAUCUUGGGAGAUGUGAUACAUUUUAUUGUUGGCCGUUUUAUUAAAGUUCUUGUAAAGUUAAUUCAUAGAUUUGUUUCUAAAUACGUUAUAAAUGUUUGAAAAUAAUUGCUAAAACCUUUGAGAAGACUGAGAACUAUGUAGUACUGAAUUGUGGAGAUACAGCAUUAAACUGUUUUUCACCAUUUCUGUGUUCCUGGUUUGUUGGGCGUGGCUACAACGGCUAUACCGUGACGUAGUGGCGUGACCGGCAUGACCCCUCCCCCCCAUAUAAGAACAAGAGCGCCCUUGCAUCAGUGGUUGUCCCGCUCAAUUGCCAGUUAUUAUUACUAUUUCUACUACUACAGCGUACAGUUUGCUAGCUAGCUAGUUAUGCCUGCACCCCGAAAAUGCAUCUUCCCUGGAUGCCACAAUUUAAACAACAGCUCAUGUCGUUAUUUAAAUUUCCAAAGAAUGAGGAGAUGAAAAAAAGGUGGAUUGACUUUGUGAAGAGCCACGUUGCUGGAGAGCUGAGGAUCACCAACAACAUCCACCUCUGCAGUGACCAUUUUACACUGGACAGUUUUGCAAACUUUCAUCAGAGACAACUGGGCUUCACGGAUAAACCGCUGUUACUGGUGAAUGGGGCCAAGCCUACUGUUUCCCUCCCUGGGCUUCACCCUCCUGUUCAGCCGUCAUCAGGUGCCAUGGUCAGCAGUCACAUUAUAUGCCCACCAAUGAGUGUAAGUUGGCUUGUGUGCUUAUUUUACAAUUAUAGUCCACAGUAACUAUUCAAUUUUGAAGGUGAGCCUGAUUUUACAUCGUGUAAACUACCAUCAUUUUCAUAGUGCAUGUUAUGAAAAUACACUGCUUAUCUACAGAAAAGCUAACGUUAAUUAGCAUCCAUAACGCAGACUUCCCUCCCCGGGCUUUAUCCUCCCACCGCCAAAAUCUAUGUUACUGCUAUAGUGGACAGUACUGUUAUGUGCCAACAAAUUAGUGAACUGUCAUGUGUACUUAUGUUGUAAUUAUAGUUCACAGUAACUAUUAUAUUUUGAAGGAGGUGAGCCCCCUAACGUGAUUUUACAUCAUGUCAACUAAAAUCAUUUUCAUAGUGUAUGCAAUGAAAAUACACUGCUUAUACACAAAAUAGCCAGGGUUAGUGAGUAUCCAUAACGUGGACUUCCUUCCCCCGGCUUCAUCCUCCCACCGCCAAAAUCUACUGCCAUAGUAACGCAGUAACGUUAUGUGCCAACAAAUGAGUGUAUGUUGACUUAUAUGCUUAUUUUAUGAUUAUUGUCCAAAGUAGAGGACUGCAUUGGGAUUGGGGAUGCAAAUCUUGCGGGAGCGGGCGGUUUUAACUGUGCUGCAGGUUGGAGCAGGUGGUGAAAGAAUAAACUGCGGGUCAGGAGGUUUAGCCAGCGCUUCAAGCCACUCAUAGAGCCGGGCUGAGUGCUCAGUCAGCGCUUCACACACAGUCAGCGUUAUCCCUGAUACUGCUACCUGCUGCCGCUCCUCCACACACACACACACACACACACACACACACAUACAUAUAACGCACACACUAAUAUUCCGUAUUUACGUGCGUGUUGUCUCACUGAGGUAUUUUUCUCAUGUAAAUUGAGACAGAGAGUGUUAUUUGGCCCUAAAAUGACAGUACAUUUUGGCAUUAUAUCUGAUUUUAUUUGUGAUUGUAUAUAUAGGUAUACAUACUAUUAUUUUUGUUGUUGUAACCAUUGUCAUUUUUAGUUAUUUAUAACAAAUGUGGUUAUUACUAUUAUUACUAUUAACAUAUGUAUAUAGUGGGAUUGAUUCAACUUGCCCAGAGUGGGUUCAAAAUUUGAGUUGUCAUGUAAUUUAAUGCACAUAUGCAGCAUACAUGUUUCAGUCAUGUCUAAACUAAAGCUUCUCCUCACCCUUUAUAUUAUCCCCCUCAGUAUGUUUGACUCCUUAGACAAGUACUUUCAGCUGUUAUCUGUUUUCACAAAGCAGUCCCCUCCAACCACAAGAGAGCAUGCCAGUGUGACGACAUGCGGAAAGUCACGAGAGAAGUUGAUUGUCAGACGGACCGCUUUUAGGGGAAAAGGACUGUGGCCACACAACUGUCCAAAAGAACAUUAAGCAACAGAAAGACUACAGUUCCAUCAUACUCCACGCAGUACUGAGGUUGCAGCCUAUGUUGGAACAACUAAGGGAAGGCCUGCAGCUGUAUGACCUUCUUUUGCUAAUCAGGCAGUACUAAGAUAUCUGCCGACCCGUUUGUUCCAGGGGAAGAUGUAAAAGUAAAUGCAGAGUUUAUCAUGGCAUCCAUUCUUCCUCAACUGAGUGACAAAGGAACUACAAGGCAUCAGAUUGAGCUGAAGAUGAUUAACUUUAUUCAGGACUUCCUUUAUGAAGCUGAAGCUGAAGAUCAGAGGAAUGGAGAUGACAAAGAUGGCCCACAUUCCAUCACACCUGCAAGGUUUCUGCAGUGGAUCACAGGCAAAGGUCGCAUCCCACUUCUUCCCUCAGAGAACAAGGAUUUUGCUGUUAUGAUCAAGUUUAACCAUGACUGCAGUGCGGACUUCGGGCAUCACAGUGUCUGUUACCCUGUUGUGUCAGCAUGUGCCAAGACUAUUGUGCUACCUGUAAAACAUACGAGGUCCUAUGACCAGUUCAAAAAGGUUCAAACAGAGGCUUUUCAUCUAGGCCAAGAAUUUAACAAUGUGUAAACAAUUACCAUUAGCUGCCUCUGUGUUUCAAGGUUACACUACUACAUAAUGUUUACUUGAUAAAUGUAUAGCACCAACUGAUACUGUUUUACUACUCUAUGUUCUGGUUAAAGAAACGCAUUUCUUAGUAUUGCUGUGUUCAAAGAUCUUGCCAUAUUUGGAAAGAGGAAUUAAUAAGUAAACAUAAAAACACUGUAAUGGCAGUACUGUUGAACAUUUAUAAAAGACAAUCAAAUAUUAAUGAUUUGAAGCAAAUCUUGCAACAAGAUUUUAAUAUGAAUACAAUUAGCUGUUAUCUCUUUAAUUUAUUUGAUAAUGGUGAUUGGAAACCACUUUGAAACAUGUUUUUAUAAAUGACAAAAUAAUACUAAAAAAUUAACAUUAUUUAGUAUAACAAAUUUUAAUUACUAGUGUAAUAUACAGUUAAAAAAUAGUUUUUUCAUGGUAUAAGUUUUGAGGGUUUUCUCUAUAGUGUUGUAAAGCUGUUUUAAGAACAAUGCUUGUGUCUUAAAUCUUUCAAAUGAAAUGAUGUGAGCAUUGUUAUUCUAUUCUUAUUGACUGUUAUGACAGUCUUUUAAUUAAAACUUUUUUAAAAAUUAAAUUAAAACUUAAUUAGUACCUCUGCC